UACGGGAGGCAGCAGUGGGGAAUAUUGCACAAUGGGCGCAAGCCUGAUGCAGCCAUGCCGCGUGUAUGAAGAAGGCCUUAGGGUUGUAAAGUACUUUCAUCGGGGAGGAAAAAACAAAACUAAUAAUUUUAUUUCUUGACGUUACCCGAAAAAGAAGCACCGGCUAACUCCGUGCCAGCAGCCGCGGUAAUACGGAGGGUGCUAGCGUUAAUCAGAAUUACUGGGCGUAAAGAGCACGUAGGUGGUUUUUUUAAGUUCAGAUGUGAAUCCCUGGGCUUAACCUAGGAACUGCAUUUUGAAACUGAAAAUAACUAGAGUAUCGUAGAGGGAGGUAGGAAUUCUAGGUGUAGCGGUGAAAUGCGUAGAUAUCUGGAGGAAUACCUGUGGCGAAAGCGGCCUCCUAAACGAAUACUGACACUGAGGUGCGAAAGCGUGGGGAGCAAACAGGGAUUAGAUACC
Molecule: ribosomal RNA, 459 nt
Filed under: uncultured bacterium
Lineage: Bacteria
Description: bacterial SSU rRNA
Rfam family: Bacterial small subunit ribosomal RNA
Source: RNAcentral